Long non-coding RNA from Etheostoma spectabile (orangethroat darter), 103 nucleotides. RefSeq lists it as uncharacterized. The record is from RefSeq and is a predicted model, not a curated record. NCBI's taxonomy places the organism in Eukaryota, Metazoa, Chordata, Actinopteri, Perciformes, Percidae. The transcript is spliced from 3 exons.
UUAUUAUGAAUUAAAUUAGCCAACAAUAUAACUGCCUACAAGUCUAUCUGGAAUGAUUAGACCAUUAAAGACUAAACUGGGAAGAUUUUUCUGCAUUGAGUAC